UAGGUAUAGAGAGGCGUCCGCCGCAUCGGAGUUGCAGAGGCCCCUUCCAUUCUCUCUCCUCUCUUUCUCUCUCUACUCUCUCUCCUCUUCCCUCUUCCUCCUUCCUUCUUCUCGUUCUCCUUUCUCUCUCCCUUCUCUUCAUCGUCUCCGUUCCUUCCCUAAUCGGUCGGCAAUCGCGGCGUCGUUUCGGUAGCUGGGCAAACCCUAAUUCGCGGUUUCGUUCCCCCCUCUUUCGGUUCUUCUUCCUCCAUCGGGAAAAAAGGGGCUCGCCUCGCUUCGCGUUCCGCCGCGACAGGGGAGCGAUAGCGACGACGAGAGGGAGCGCGAUUGAGGUGGGUGAAGCCGCUGGGUUCGAGGGAUUGACAAGUUGAAUGGCGAGGCAAGGUCAAGGGGCGCCGUUGGAGAAGGCAGCGCUGGACGACAUCCUAAAGAGGUUGUUGGAUUUCAGGAACGCCAGGGCGUGCAAGCAGGUCCAGCUCACCGAGGUCGAGAUCCGCCAGCUCUGCGUGGCCUCCCGCGAUAUCUUCCUCUCGCAGCCCAAUCUGCUCGAGCUCGAAGCUCCCAUCAAGAUCUGCGGUGACAUUCAUGGGCAGUAUUCUGAUCUUUUGAGACUUUUUGAGUAUGGAGGUUUCCCUCCUACUGCCAACUAUCUAUUUCUGGGAGAUUACGUGGAUCGUGGCAAGCAAAGUCUGGAGACAAUCUGCCUUCUGCUUGCCUACAAAAUUAAAUACCCUGAGAAUUUCUUCCUUUUACGAGGAAAUCAUGAGUGUGCAUCAAUUAAUCGGAUAUAUGGGUUUUAUGAUGAAUGUAAACGCCGCUUCAAUGUUAAACUUUGGAGGACGUUUACUGAAUGUUUCAACUGUCUUCCAGUAGCCGCUCUCAUAGAUGACAAGAUAUUAUGCAUGCAUGGUGGCCUUUCCCCUGAUUUGACUCAUUUAGAUCAAAUUAGAAACUUGCCACGCCCAACUGAUGUUCCAGAUUCGGGUCUACUAUGUGAUUUACUUUGGUCAGAUCCUGAUAGAGAUGUCAAAGGCUGGGGAAUGAAUGACCGAGGUGUCUCAUAUACCUUUGGCCCAGAUAGAGUGUCUGAAUUCUUGACAAAGCAUGAUAUGGACCUUGUUUGUCGUGCCCACCAGGUUGUUGAAGAUGGGUAUGAAUUCUUUGCUGAUAGACAACUGGUGACCAUAUUCUCUGCUCCCAAUUAUUGUGGUGAAUUUGACAAUGCCGGUGCAAUGAUGAGUGUGGAUGAAAGCUUAAUGUGCUCGUUUCAAAUUCUUAAACCUGCUGAUAAAAAAGCUAAAUUCCUCUGAAUGAUGAUGCCAUGAUUGCUGCUGGAGCACCUCUAAAAUUGCAAUUUACUUCACUGGUCAGGCCCUUGUAAGAUGGCAUGAAUACUUAUAGCUCGCAUCAUUUUAGUGACUCGGGCAAUAUAACUUGGAAUCGGAGGAUAAAAACAACUGCUGGUAUUGAAGCUCCCAUGGCGCAUCUUCUGUUUGAUGAUGUUACGUCUUCGGUCUUCAGAAUGGUGAUCUAGAGGGGGGGAAUGCGACGUGGGAGCUUUAGCUUGUUAAUGGCAGCAUGAAAAAGAUUUGAGUUUCCUUUUCGCGAUUAUAACUUACCGGAUUGUGGUGCCCGAUCUUGAAACGUUUGAUUGUAAAUGACAUUACAAUUGUAGAUUGUGGACGCCUGUAGAAGAAUUUUCCAUCUCACUUCUUAGAUGUAAACCUCUGUUUUGCUCAUAAAAGGGCCAGGCAAUCGUGAUUUCUUUCCUGUCUUAACGGUUUGGAUACAUAAUAUGUUGAUUUGUCUUUUCUGCUUCACAA
This is an RNA transcript of Eucalyptus grandis, 1823 nucleotides long. It is a transcript of the gene named serine/threonine-protein phosphatase PP1 isozyme 2, with no coding region annotated. The transcript has 5 exons. The record is from RefSeq and is a predicted model, not a curated record. NCBI's taxonomy places the organism in Eukaryota, Viridiplantae, Streptophyta, Magnoliopsida, Myrtales, Myrtaceae.